UUUUUUUUUCUUUUGUAUGGUUGUUGAAAAACAAAGCUGAGCCUAUUAGUUUGGAAAAUAAAGUCAAGCCUAUGUGUUGAAAAAUAGUUUGAUUAACUAGCAAGUGGCCAUUUGCGCCGGUGAGUUGAGCUGGCUAGCUUGUGUUGAUUCAUGCAUGUUUGGUCAAGGCUAGCUAGUUGCAGCAGUUGGGAAUAGUACAUAAGAGAAGAGACCCUAUAUCAGCGUGUGUAAUCAGGACUGGCAUGUAUACUUGAUACUACUGUAUAGCUUAACUAGCAGUCCCUGCAAACCAACUAACAUUGAAGAGGUCCUCCAUUCAUGUCAUAGUACGUACAUUCCUAGUUCUUUUUCCUUUAGUUUUGGUUCGUAGAUGUAAUUGUAAGUUUUGUAAUCUCGCUUUUGCUUUUCUUAUCAGUAUUUUGUAGUUCUGUAACAUUUAACUUGUAUGCCUAAGGCUGAAGCAGUCACUGACAUGUUAACAUCAUGUCCUGUGUGUUCUUUCUCAAAGAUGUAGAGCAGGGGUUCUUACAGUUUGAUAAAUACAGGCCACAUCAGAUUCUGAAGGCGACUUUGAAAGGGCGUGAGAUGAUGCUCGUCAAGACUAACUGAAAAGGUUAGUCCAUCAUGUCUUACCCAUUUAGUUAUGCGCCAAUUUAGUUCUGGACAACAUGAGCAUGCUGCGGAUAACUUGCUUUGAGACAUGCUCUUUUUAUUUGAGCCUGAUUUCUUAGCUUACCUCAUUGCCUACGUGGUACUGUUGUACUAUAUAUGAUGUAUGCACCUGCUUAUGCCCUAUUUUCCCGGAUGUGGCUCAUAACUGAGAUAUCUAUCUAUUAAAUCCAUCUUAAUUAAGGUGUGAUGGCACAAUUUGGUUGAACUCAUAUAGGAAAAGAUGUUGCUAUAAUCAAUUACAGUAAAAUCAUUUGCACAGAGAAAAAUAUUUCAACAUUAGACAAUAUGAUCUGGCAUGUUUGACCCUCAUCAGGCGUCCUCCUUUCUAGCUUUUGUUUUCCCCUGUACUAGCUUUUCCUCUUUUGGUCCUCAGCUUUCCAGACCUUGAUGCUUUUGAGAAUGUCCAGCAAACUUGGUUUCAUUUUAGUAAUGGAACCAGGGGGCCGCCUCUCUGUUUAUCUAAAAAAGUGGACAAUAUUGAAUUUUUUUGGAAGUGCAUACAGAAAUAAUGGUAGCUUAACAUGAAGAAUGAUUGUGACCUGUCAUACGAAACAUAAGAAGUUGCUUAAUUUGCUAUGCGCAAUAUAACCGAAACUAUAGUUGGUGGAGAUUAGUGUGCUACUGCUAUUUAAUUUGUUUGAAUGAAAAAUUAUAUUUAUAUCUUUCUUUACAUGACAUUCUUAAUCUGUUUUUUGUAUUUAUUGUAUGCCCAAACUAACCAAUAGUGUUAUGCUAGUCUACUGCUUCUGUUGUGUCAUCAGGCUGCAAAAUAUAAGCGCUAGUAUAUAUACUUCAGUGGGGUUGCAGAUGUCUGUUGUACAUUUGUACUUGGUUAUCAUUUUACAACUUCAACAAGCCAAUGAAUCGAUUAUCGACACGACAUAUGUGUCUUUCAGAUAAGGUUUUUUUUGACCUGUAUCACAUGGCCAUCUUGGUGUAACCAUAGUACAUGCGGGUUCUGGACAUAGGAUUGUUACAGUUAAUUAAAAAAUGUCGUGUGCUUCGAAUUAUAUUAAUGUUACAAGUAAUUUGGAAAGCAUGAUGUGUUCUGAACCGUUGCAAACUUAUAAUGAAAUUGACAUUAGUGCAGUUUAUUGGUAUAUUCCUUUUGUACACAUAGCAACGUGUAGUACUCAGUCUAUUAUUUGGAGUUGCGUUCCUACUGAUUCAUGUAACCCUAAAAAUUGCAUGUGAAGGACCAAAAGGUGAGUACGUAGUCAUACUGUUAGAUAUCUAACCAGUCAAUUAGAACAUCUAAGUUCCUUUUUUUGUAUCAUCAAUUAAAUUUCAAUUACAGUAUGUCGUUUUCAUCUCCCUUACAUCUAGUCUAAUCAUUUCUUAGGAAUGGGAGACAGUACUGAAGAAUCGUGAUCUAUGGCAAGGGUGAUGAUGUCUAUGGCGAUGAUUGUUAUGAUCUAUUUGGCGACGAGCAUUAUGAUCCAUAUGGUGAUGAAGGGUGACGAGUCUAGUGAUCUUUCUUCAAGACGUUCAACAAAGUGAAAUCAUGGGGUUUUGGUCAAUCUAGCUUAUGCAUAAUGCUUGGACCAUUAUAUCUUAGUUUUUUUUUGCAUUUUAAACUUUCUAGAUUGUUCAUCAUGAUCAAUGUAAUUCGGAUGCAACUCUUCUGAUAUUUUGAAAGUUGUGCUAUAUACAAUAUAUGUUACUUGGUCAUGUGUGGGCUGUGCAAUUCUGUGAUAUAUUUGAAAUGAAAAACAAUCCUCUAAGGGUGACUAUAUAUAUAGGGUGUUCGUCGGCCUCUCAACUAUAGGAAUAAAUGAAGGGGUGUAUGCACAAUCAGCGAUUAUACUAGCUGACAGUUUGGUUCUCCUCUUAGUUAUAAUGAACCCCGAGGGGCCAAAUAUGCCGUCACCUAUUGCAAAAGCCGAGGGGAAUUGAUAACUGUCAGGAAAUAAAUUCCCGACGGGAAACCGUCAGAUAUGAGCAUCGUCGAGUUUUGGGGAGCUGGCUCGCGACCAAAAUAUGACCGGCGGCUCACCGUCAGCCAAAUACCGUGGAAAAAUGUAUUACCCUACGGUACCGUCGGCUAUUAUUGUAAUGGCCGACCAAGCAUAGCCGACGGGAGAUUGCCGAUGGUGUACCGUCGGUUAUAAAGAAAGAUGACGGUGAAGGAAAAUAUCCGACGGUAAUUUGACCCUCGGUUAUAAUGGGAAAUCUAGUAGUGCAAAUAAACAUCUGGGAGGACCCUUGGAUAUACCUGGUAGUCCCUCAAGGAAAAUGAUGAUGCCUAGGGGUAAUAUUGUGAUCACAAGGGUGUCUGAACUCAUUAAUACAGAGAGUAGACAAUGGGAUGAGCAAUUACUUAAUGACUUAUUUUGGCCCAUUGAUGUAUACAGAAUUCUAAACAUCCCAUUGGCCCUGGGGAUGAUGGAUGAUUUUGUAUCAUGGCACUUUUGUCGAAAUGGUAUUUUUUCUGUAAGGUCGGCAUAUCAUGAAGAAUGGGAUCACCAACACGGAUGAAAGUUGAGAAUGACAAAUUCAGUCCAAGGCUCAAGUACUAGUCCAGUUUGGAAGACCAUUUGGAAGUUAAGUAUGCCAGCCAAGAUAAAAAUCCAUGUUUAGAGAACCUUAUUAGGGGCUAUUCCUUGUCAUGGCGUGCUUGCAAAUAGGCACAUGAGUACUAGUUCACGGUGUCCUUUAUGUAUAUCAGAUUGCGAAAGUGUUAGGCAUGUGUUCUUUCUCUGCCCAAGAGUGCAAGAAGUGUGGCGCAUUUUGGGACUGGACUCUCUCAUCUCUGAAGUUUGCUCAGUUGAUCGUGAGGGAGGAUCAGUCUUGGCUGAUUUGUUUCUUUCCAAGAGCCCUAUAUAGCCGACCAUAUCUGGUGUGAAAAGAACUGAUCUUAUUGCCACUACCGUUUGGUACGUGUGGUGGGAACGACGACGUUUCACGCAUGAGCAUAUAUUGCAGGACCCAGUGAGAUCGGCGCAGACCAUCACUGCGCUUGCAAAGAACUUCGUCAGAGCCAGGGUGAAGCAUGCACGAAUUAGGAGGCAUGGUUGGCUGAGACCACCAAAGAAUAUUGUGAAGUUGAAUAUUGACGCUGGUUUUAAUUAUGACAGUAGUUCUGGAAGUACUGGAGCUAUUCUACGUGAGUAUACAGGUUCUUUUUUAGCGGCAUCAUGCAGUGAUAUCCCUUUUGUAGAAGAUGCGGCGACGGCGGAAGCACGAGGCCUUAGAGACGGACUCAUACUUGCCAAUGACUUGGGUUGCAACAAUCUUCACGUCGAGGCAGACUGCAUGGAGGUGAUUGAUACUAUGCAAAAUGGAGGGAAUUCUCUUGGCCCAGCUGCGGCCAUUUACGAAGAAUGCUCUUUUCUAGCUCGCAAAUUUAAUAUUAUAGAGUUUAAUUACUGUCCUAGGGAGGCCAAUAUGGCGGCAGAUGUGCUAGCCAGGGACUCGGAGAACUCUCGAACUAUUGUGUGGAAGUCAGAGCCUCCGGGAUUUUUAGUUGAUGUUCUCUUAAAUGAUGUAUCCCUAUUUUCACAUGAAAUAUAAACCGCCAUGAUGGCAUUUUCUCAAAAAAAAAAAGAAGAGGGCACCCCUACACCUAUUUGAUCGUCGUAUCGUUUAGGAUAACAGUGCCCUCCGAAAUUCACUCCAAAUCCAAUCAGGAGUGCGCUGGACGUUGACGUGAAGGCCUGUCCUUACUCCGGUGAGGUGCCGGAGUGAUCUACUACGUUGCUGCAGUUCGUCAUCGGACUCCACUUCCUCAACUGAGAUGGCCUCUUCAAACGGAGGUAUAAACACACUACUGUCAACUAAUUUUCGCAUCAAAUCGAGUAGUGUUCAUGUGUAUUAGAUAAGAUCUGAUUAGCAAUUGCAUAAUCCUAGCAAUAUCUCUAACAAACCCAGCUCAACUCUUCAGCAAAAUUGUCGACGAGAUGGAAGAAUGGAAGGCGGCCGGAGCAGGUGGCUUAGAUCGAUUAGCGAGAGUGUGAUUCUUGUUUUAUCGCUGGUGUAGGUGUUGGUGUGUGAUCGACGCUUUGUUCGUACUGCGUUCCGAUAUUCUUGUAAAUGUUUUGCUCUUCUUCUAUAUAGAUAUGGUAUGCCUUUGACAUACUCUCAGAAAAAAAGGACAAUUAAUGACUGUAGAUUGGAAGGUUUUCCGGAACAAAAACAUAUGGUUGUUUUGUGCACCGGGGCACUCGUAUUGUUGUUAGGUGAUCUUAUAAGAACCCAUUAACCACCUUCAAAAAAAUAACAACCCACUAACGAACCACGAAACGGAUUAUGCACGCCAACGAGGUAGCAGCGUGCAAACAACGGAUUUCCAUAGGUCUCGUGGCGCAUUUUGUGACUUGGGCACAUACUGAAUAGUGAAUACAGUCAGCUGAUCCCAUCCACUUGAUUACGGACGGAUGACCACAAACGGAUCAGUUGAAGCGACUCGAGAACGCGCGCGUGGGGACACGUAGGCUUUGAUACAUUGCAUGCAUGCACCUACCAGCACCAGAGACGUCGUAGCAUAAAGACACCAAGUCAUGGCCUGCAGGAUAACAAGAUAAGCAACGGCUUUGCUGUCGAUCGAGACGAAGAAACGAAGAAGAUAAGCAAGAUAGAACUCGCUGCUACCGCCAGCUCAAAAGAGGUGCGUGGGGCCGUGCCGACGCGGAAUUUGUUUAUCAAGGAAAGGAAAGAAGCAAAAUGCAACCAAGUUCGAACACCUUCAACGACCUUCACCCGGCUACUGUUGCAGGGAAAGUAGUGGUGCCAAUCUCCUACCUGGAAAAUUUGUAGAAUUCAUAUGAGAGUUCUGGUUGAUACAACUAGGGCUCGAUUAAAACUCAAAACUUGUAAAAAUGAGUAGCUCAUGACUCAACUCGACUCAAACUACAUAACUAAGAGUUAAACCGGGUUUAAUCUGAGAUCAUUAACUGAAUGAGUUUAACGAGUUGAGCUAACGAGUUAGUAGUAACUCGUUAAGCUCAUUAAUGAGAAGAGACAUGAGAUAAUUAAGUAUCAAUAUUGUUGUUGAUUGUUGUUAUUUAUGAAAUGCACCAACUAUUCGUUUAAUGCAAAUUGUUAAUUGCUGUGAUUCAUGAAAAAAAGUUCAUGUCUACAAGUAUAUAUUACGAGGUUAAAUAUUCUUAAAAAAUAUUAAUUGUAUCGCAAUACACAUACAUUGUUAAACAAGCUAACUGCGAGUUACAUUAGUCGAGCCGUUUUAAAUAUAAGUCAUUAUGUUAGUGAGUCCAUCCAAGUUAACUCGUUAUCUUAACGAUCUCUAACGAGUCGAGUCGAGCAAGUUAUCAGCUUGGUUUUGAUCCUUAGAUGACAUGGUACAAAAGUCAUUUCCGACAUUCUUGGAGAUGGUUAAGCCAUUCUAGCAGAGUCGUUAUAUUUGUGAUCGCCAUUGGCCAUCGUGCUCCAUAUGGAUAUGGAUGCUGCGGUGACUACAUGCAAACAUAGAUUCAUCAAAAAGGCAGCCUACAUAUUUUUCUUACAUGUGUGUUUCACAUGUCAUUGACUACAAUGGUUCUUCCCAAAAAUCCAAUAUUCAGAACACAUUUGUUUCAGACCUCAGUUCAAUUUUAUUCCCCACCUCAACGAUGGAAGUAUUUUAGUAUUAGAUUUCAAUAUCGAUUUCAACUAGGUUUUCAACUAGGAUUUACAAAAUGGAUUUCAAGAAGGAUUUACAAGGAUUCUCUACUAAACUAUGAGCUCUUCCUCCUCAUUGAAGUGACUUCACAGGCAGGGGUGGCUUCAGCUACCGUGACUUCCGUGGCCACGCGGUCGACGAACGCAUGUGUGUCCUGGAUACAGGAUAAGGCCAAAGUCUUGAAUAGUGGUGUUCAUUUCUGCCAGAUGGCAUCGACAUGUGGUAAAAGUACUCAAGGGCGGCGGGUAGGCGAGCACCGCCGUCGACUGAUUCUGCCUUAUGGCGCACUUCGUCCUCGACCCACUCAGAGAAGUCUCACGCCCUCUCCAAGAUCUCUCUCUCUCUCUCUCUCUCUCUCUCUCGGCGCAGUCCCCUUCGGUCUCACCGGGAAAGGUCCACGGGGAGGGCGUGGCCACACCCGAAUGGUGGAAGAGAGAAGAGGGGUAGUGGCCGACGAAGGGAGACGAUGGGAUGAGUGUGCCGACGCCAGGGAUCGGGGAAGAGAGUGAAUAUGGUGGCAUCGACAAAGGGCUCUGAUGGGGGUUUAUACCCACAAAUGGGCGCGUUUCGAUGGGAAACGAGGGAUGGGGAUUUGCCACGUGCGGGUGGGAAACAAGUGUGAAAUGCGGCGACGGUCAUUAAUUGAUGCUCUUCCCAGUGGACAAAUGGGUGCGGCAUCCGCAGGGGUGAAAGCGGCAGUUGUACGUACGGCGACGCCAUUGACGGGGUUGCGCGGGGGACUAAGAGGUUGUGCUAAAACUUCCCUACGCCAUUGACGGGGCUGCGUGGAUGACGACUUUGUCAGAGUCUUAAAAACAGUUCCUACCAAAAUUACCAUAUCGACAAGUUAAGAUAUCAAUCACACCGAUAUACCACUAGAAAAAUCAGGCUGAUAUAACAACAAUGCUAGAAUUGCUAGGGCCAUGGGGCAUGGUGAAUCCCGGCACUUGCCGGUGGGAGGGCUCCGUUUGUAUAUGUUUCUUUGAAUUUUGUUUGGUUUUGUGUGUCUUGCUCAGGAAGGUGAGACGACGGCAGCUUUCUGAAGAUGGAAUAAGGUUCUCCCCGCUCGUCUCGGUGGUGCGUCUAGCAUGGUCGGAUGGUGUGUGGAUGUCUGUCUCUGGCGGAUCUCACAGAAUUCGGUCGGGGAUUGUCUUCGGUGGAUCUGCUCAGAUCCGGUCUUCGGUCAUCUACGUUCAUGCGGCUUCAGGUUGGAUCCUUCCGAUCUAUAUCUCUCUUCAUCAGCGGUGUUUGCUGUUCUGGUGCGCUGGUCCUAUAUGACCUUGACAUGAUGACUUCUCGACUAUCUACUACAACAAGUUAUGUCCGGCACCGACAAGGGAGGGACGGUGACAGUAGCGCGCCUUCGGCUCACUUCAAUUCUUGUAUUUACCGCUAGGUGGUCUAUGGAUUUGACUGUAUCUUUUAUUAUUUCUGAUGUUCAUUCUAAUGCUAUAAUUAAAGAUGAAUACAGAAUGGAAGUAUUUUCGGGAAAAAAUUAGCUCGGCAGACGCCAUCACGCCUUACACGCGGCAGAGCAGCGCGACUACGACUUCCUCGUUCCCAGGAGGUGCCGUGCCAGGCGCGGCUGUACUCCGUCACUGCCUCGCGGGGUCCACUCAGUGCCUGGGCCCACGGGUCAAUUGCCAUCUCCGUCGAUGGUUUUUGUCUCCAUCCAGGAGAAGCAAGUUUGCUGCUCCUAGAGCUUCGGCGCACGCUGGAUCCCCCGUAACAGGAGUCCCGAAACAGGGCACAGUCUUUGUCAAACAUCCGCCAAAUAUCUUUGCCAAACAUUACCGUAUCCUGCUAAUGCAUGUGUUAGCUCGCCAUAAAAAACCAAUGCAUGUGGCCUUCUAUAAGGGUCGGAUACAGCACGGCAGAUCCAACGCUUUGCCAAAUUCUCCACGACCUAUAUAGAAACCUCUUCACGAACACUUUGCCAUUUUAACUCACUGGUAUAGGCGCUGCGCUCUCGUAGCGGGCUGUGUAUAGCUUUGCGAACCAUUGCUCGCCGUGAAGGGUCGAGUUCUUGAACAGCUUUGGCGAUCGCGGGCGUACGUGCGUGCAUGGCUGUGCUGUCGUCUGCGAGGCGCCUCCUCCCGUGGGGCCGCGCCCCGGCCGGCGGGGUCAGCGGCGGCCUCCGAGCUCUACUCGGGACGGUGCGUACCCGCGCGCUUCUCGUGCUUUUACAGUUGAGAUCCCCGUCUACAAAGCAUGGCCGCCGGGCCUGGCGCUUCUACUCUUCUUGUUUCCGUUGCGAGAGAAGAAGAGCAUUUUCCCGUCUACUAAGAUUUAUCCAUGUCCACGAUGCUCUCACAUCCUGCCUCCAUGAGGACGAUGAUGAGGUCGAUCGGAACUCACAGUAGGCGCCUUCUCGGUGUGCAGGACGGAGGCGGCGGCCGCUCUCUUCUCCCGUCCCGGUGGAAGUCGUCGCAGCCGCAGCUGGACCCCGUCGACAGGUGCGUGAGUGGCAUGCAGGCUCAUCGUUCCUUUCCGUGAUUGGUUUCGAUUCGUUUGCAGUUUGAUCGAUCGCCAAUGGCUUUUAACAUUUUGCGCCGUUCGUCACACUCAAACUUAACGCUUGAGCUGUCGCCACCGGGGCAUCCGUGUGCGGUUUGGCUUGGCUGCAGGUCCGACGAGGAGGGCGGCGGCGACAUCGACUGGGACAACCUCGGCUUCGGGCUCACCCCGACCGACUACAUGUACGUCAUGCGGUGCUCGCAGGAGGAGGGCGGCUUCUCCCGCGGCGAGCUCGCCCGCUACGGCAACAUCGAGCUCAGCCCCUCCUCCGGCGUGCUCAACUACGGGCAGGGGCUGUUCGAGGGGCUCAAGGCGUACCGGAGGGCGGACGGGCCCGGGUACAUGCUGUUCCGGCCGGAGGAGAACGCGCGGCGGAUGCAGCACGGCGCCGGGCGCAUGUGCAUGCCGGCCCCGUCCGUCGAGCAGUUCGUGCACGCCGUCAAGCAGACCGUCCUCGCCAACAGGCGCUGGGUACGUACAACGUGGUGACCAUCGGUGUGUCCUUUUAUUCACGUGAGUGCACGCCAUGCUCAUGAGCCCUCCAUGGCUGAUCUCCGCACCGCAACCACCGCUGUCCUACGUUGGUUUCAGGUGCCGCCGCAGGGAAAGGGGGCGCUGUACCUCAGGCCGCUGCUCAUCGGGAGCGGGGCGAUCCUCGGGCUGGCGCCGGCGCCCGAGUAUACCUUCAUGAUCUACGCGGCGCCCGUGGGCACAUAUUUCAAGGAAGGCAUGGCGGCGAUAAACCUGCUGGUCGAGGAGGAGAUCCACCGCGCCAUGCCGGGCGGCACCGGCGGGGUCAAGACCAUCUCCAACUACGCGCCGGUAAACAUCUUUCAGCCGGUAAAUAUCAUCUUCGGGUGAAUUUCCAGAAAAUGUGACUGACCGGCCAGUGUUUUUAUCCCAUCGUCAGGUGCUCAAGGCGCAGAUGGACGCGAGGAGCAAGGGGUUCGCGGACGUGCUGUACCUGGACUCGGUCCACAAGAGGUACGUGGAGGAGGCCUCCUCCUGCAACCUCUUCGUCGUGAAGGGCGGCGCCGUCGCGACGCCGGCGACGGAGGGGACCAUCCUGCCGGGGGUCACGCGUCGGAGCAUCAUCGAGCUCGCCAGAGACAGCGGCUACCAGGUCGAUCGAUCAAUGCACUCCACGUCCACCACGACUGUCCACCACCCAACUGCGCCGAUAACAACGGACUGAAGCUUGUGUUGUGUGUUGUCUUCUUCAGGUCGAAGAGCGCCUCGUCUCCAUCGACGAUCUCGUCAGUGCCGACGAAGUGUUCUGCACGGGAACGGCCGUCGGCGUCACCCCGGUGUCCACCAUCACCUACCAAGGGACAAGGUAAGUCCAUCUCAUGCAAUUCGUCCGUCGAGCCGGGGCAAAAAGAUCCAAGAUGUCUGUUCGAUUCAGUGCUGAGAUGUGUACUGAUUUUUGGGCGUGCGUGCAGGUACGAGUUCAGGACCGGGGAGGACACGUUGUCGAAGAAGCUUUACACGGCUCUGACGUCGAUCCAGAUGGGCCUGGCGGAGGACAAGAAGGGAUGGACGGUCGCGGUUGAUUGAGUAGGAUAACAGCGUGGGCGCAUGCGGCGCCGGAAGCAUUCAUCAGCAUUUCUUAUCAUGUGUCUUGCCAAUGUGAAUAAUAAUAGUGAUGGUGAUGAUAUCUCGGGGAUGUCUCGGCCCGAAGGGUGAUGGUUUCUCUGAUGCUACUGAUUUCUUGGAAAAUAUGGAAAGAGAGAAAUGCACGUGUGUUCCGUAACAACGCAGUUCCCGUGGGUGUUCUUGUUGCUCGAACUAAAAAGGAAGCUUCUCUGUGGGGUGACAUUUUUGUGUAAUAUUAUGCUGAGAGUGAGGCUUGUAAUUCGGCCCCUGGCCUAGACCCUAAAAAGAUUCUUCUUAUUCAACGAAAAUGGUAAGCCUUUUGCCUUGUUUCAAAAAAAAUGAUGAUGAUAUCUCGUGUUAGAAGAUACUCCCUUCGUUUCAAAUUACUCGUCGUAGAAAUGGAUGUAUCUAGAACUAAAAUACAUCUAGAUACAUACAUACCUACGACAAGUAAUUCGGAAUGAAGGGAGUACGUAUCAAGUUCAAAUUUGGGCACAGAAAGAGAGAAGCUAAUGUUGAUCCUGCUUGACACUUGCGUUUUUGCCAAACAGACCGUUUUCAUUAGCAAGUUCAAAUUUGGGCACAGAAAGAAAGAAGCUAAUGUUGAUCCUGCUUGACACUUGCGUAUUUGCCAAACAGACCGUUUUCAUUAGCAAGUUCAAAUUUGGGCACGCAAAGUAGCUACUGUUGGUCCUGAUUGACACCUACCAUUUGCCACAUAGAUCGUUUUCAUGCAUGACAACCUGGCAGUCGCAUCGACGUUACAGUUACAGAGACAUUUCAUGGACAUUCGGGGUACUUCGAUAGUUUGAUACGUUCACGUUGUUGCUCUCUGACAAUUUAUUUACAGAGACCAACAAGUGUGAGGUUUUUCUGGCGGCGCGCGCGGCAGGCCAAACAACAAGCAAACAACGGCACGACUGCAUGCGGCACAUGCCACAUGGUAAUGGUAGGCAGGAAAGAAACGUAUGCCAAAGUGCAAGUAGUCAAUUUUUCUUAGGCUCCAUGUACGCGCUGCCAAUCCAGACCCAACGUGCGUGCUUACUGGAAUUGUCUUCUUUUUGAAUCCUUGAUUGAUUGAAGGAACACAAUAAGAAAACAGCACGGAUCUGUCUUUUUGUUCAGCAGAUCUGAUCUGAUCUGAUCGGGGGACAGGAUGAUGUGUCCGCCAAGUUGUCGCGGUGCAGUGUGUGGUCUCACCCAUCUCCAGCGACAAAUUGAUCAAACGUCCCCGCAUGCUGCUCUGGAAGCUGGAUACGAUCACCCAUUCCUCAUUCUUCACAAUCAUGUUUUGCAUGAUUAUGCAAGUAGUCAUCAUCUCCUACAAUGUUGUCGUAUCUCAUUGUUUAGCAAGUCUGCAAACAACUGCAAAAUCGGGCUUGAGGCACUCCAAAUGCCUCCUCCACAUCUUUCUAGCACCUCCAUGUCUUGCAGCAACGUGGAAUUUUUUGUUACCUCUGGAGAUGAUCUUGACAAAGGUAAUAUAAUUGCAAAGAUAGUACCCGUGUUGUACCUAUGUCCAUUGUUGCAUGCAAGAGCUUCGUCCACACACAACAUUGCAAACAAUAGAGACCACUGCAGCAAGUUGAUGUCAUUGUGAGACCCUAGCAUGCUAAAGAAAGGGUGUCAAAUCCAAUGAUCAUGUGAUGAAACUGUUUCAAGAAUGAUAAUGCGCUUUUUAUGAUGACCCUAGUAUUACCUCUGUUGAGCAUAUGGGCAGUUCUUACAUGUUUAUGCAAUCCAUGGAUUUGAGCAUACCUGAAACUUUCUCGCUUCUUCCACUACCAUGAGCUUUGUUGUGUCUUCGUUAUUUAGUUCUCUCAAGUACUCUCAUCCAAACACCUUGACCACUACAAUAGCAAAUCUGACCAUGGCUUCGAGGAAGUGCUCUCAGAAAUCUGAAGGUACUCAUCCAGGUGGUCUGCGAUUGUUCCAUACCAAGCAUUCUCGUAGCAGUCGUGCACUUCUGGAGAUCAGAAAACCCACUGCAGCCAACGGAAUCCUUCUUGGGCUCAAAGUAAUCAUCAUAAGCUCUGACAUCUUCCAUGAUGCGCGCAAGAACAAUGGUCGAUGCAUCCGAUAUCAAUGUUGAAAAUAGUAGUCGAAUAGCGCAUCGGGAACAAAGUAGUCCUCGUAGAGAUCAACAUGUUUUGGUGCCGACGCCGAUUCAACACUCUAUCUCCAUACGUUGAACCCUUGAAUUUGAGAAGAUGCUCCUCCACAUGCUCUAUUUCGUCAAGAAGCAUCAUUCGUGGCGGUUACCACGGCGGCAGCCUUGACGAAGAGGAGGCUAGGUGGAGCGACGAAUGUCCGGCAAAGGCCUGGGCAACAUCCAGGGGGAUUGAUGCGGCAGAUUGUGAAAAUACACCGGCGUCAGGGUUUUGGGUGGGUCCGGACCAUCAUAGGACGACAUGGUUGGGGUCAAACUUAGGAGAUUGUGGACGUUUUGCACUAGUCCGGCCCAAAAUGGGCAGCCGCGAUGAAGGCCUGAAAAUUUAAGGACAUCUGGUCCAAACAUAAAAUAUAGGGGGCUGCUACAAAUAAGCCGGAUGAUUUCUUCCGCCUAUUUAGCCGUUCGAUCGGUGCACUGGUGGCCAUUGAAUUACAACGACGCCACGGUAGCAGCGAGUCAACGCAGCACCAUUGCAGACUUGCAGUCCCAGCGCAGCUCCAACGCAGCACCACGGAUUGAUUCCUGCGAGCUCCAUUGCGGCCCCAGCAGAGCUCCGACGCAGCACCGACGCGCCGGCGAAGCUCCAUUGCAACUCCGGCCAAGCUCCAAUGCAGCCCCAGCGAAGCUCCAACGCAGCUCUGACGGCUCCGGCGAAGCUGCAUUGCAACCCUGCCUGAGCUCCACCCAGCGCUGACGGCUCCGGCAAAACUCCAUUGCAACUCCGGCGGAGCUCCACUGCAGCCCGCGCGUGGUCCAAGGCAGCGCCGACGGCUCCGGCGAAGCUCUAUUGCAACUCCGACGGAGCUCCAUUGCAGCCCCGCAUGGUCCAAGGCAGCGCCGACGGCUCCGGCGAAGCUCCAUUGCAACUCCGGUCGAGCUCCAUUGCAGCCCUGCCGGAGCUCCACCGCAGCGCCGACGGCUCCGGCGAAGCUCCAUUGCAGCCCGGCCUGGUCCAAGGCAGCGCCGACGGCUCCGGCUCCACGGGUUACAUGUCGCUUGCUGCACUGCAGCUCUCCGCCGAUUCGCGUUGCAGCGUCACUGGUCGACCGCGAGAUCGUGGGGUCGCAGCGCUGCUAUGGUUGGACUGGUCGCGCCUAGAAAAAAGAGAAGAAGCAGGUGGAGCGGUGAUGUCAGCUGGUGGUGCCUGCAGCAGCAGGUUGGGUUGGCUCAUGCAGCGGUAGCUGCCGCGACGACGGGCCAGUGGCCGGUGGCGGCUUGCUUAUCCUGCGUCCGGAGAAAGAGAUGAGGAUUUGCUUCUGCAGAGGUAGGAGAUGAGGGAGCCGAGGGGCACGCGGAGAGGAUAAGGUUGCCAGGUCCACGCCACGCGGGACACGCGUCACUAGGACAAGGCGACUUACGCGUCGCUGUUAUCAGCCGGAUGAAAAUAAACGAUUUCCUAAAAUAUAUGGGGGAGAUUUGGGCGUCAGCGUCGGAGAAGCCCCGUGGAUGGUGCAGUAUAUACACUGUCCUCCAUCUUCUAGCUUCACAUGUCAUCAGAGUUAAUUGACAAGAUGAAAUGAUCUGCUACUCACAUAAAGAAUAGAUUAUUGAGUAGAUAGAGGCAAACAAUGAAAUUUCUCUCUGCUUUACUUAUUGAGGGUUCAGGCCCUUUAUAUAGCAGACAAGACUUGACAAGUCGGUAAUUUAUUCAAACAGUUUUGCUAAAGCACAUCUAGAUGUGCCAUAAGUAUUGCACAUCUAAAUCCUAUGUCAUUGACUUAUGCAGAGAUUUCUGUAGGUAUCUUAUUCAAACUCACAGAGGAUCUCGAAACUGGACUCUUUUCUAAGAGACAUGCUUAAUCAACUGGAACUCUAGAUGAAAUAAGGCAUUUGAUGAGCUGGCCCAUAUAACUGAAGGCAUAUCAUGGUCCAUAACAGCGUUCAGCCUAACAUGGUAUACAGUGGUCUGAUUUGAAACGCACACAGCACAGCUCACGAUCAGUAGACAAGGAACACCGCCUUAGUCCACUAGUUAGAACAGCAGGCGUAGUUCAUCAGUAGUACAACAAAGAUGUACAAUUUAGCUAGGAUGAAUCAACAUGGGCACUGACGCAGCAAUUCAAAACAUUUCAAAAACAGGAUCAGCACCCAACGGAGAUACUAUACACGUUCCAUGAUCCAUUCGGACUACCAACACAGCACAUUUUCAACAACCGGCUAACACUGGCGGGCGACUACCAACACAGGAAAAAUGUCAUCGUGCGAGAGAUUAGCUGCACCUUUGUAGAUCAGAACUCUGCUUCAGGAGGUGCACGGUAAUACGCGGGGACGGUAGCAGGGAAGAACAUUUGCCUCACACCUUCAGCUUUGAUGAUUGGGAAG
RNAcentral lists this long non-coding RNA (14897 nucleotides) under Triticum aestivum (bread wheat). RNAcentral describes it as "long non-coding RNA (TAES_LNC001162)". The stretch from base 10764 to 10878 matches the Rfam family "MIR1120/MIR1122 microRNA precursor family". Lineage: Eukaryota; Viridiplantae; Streptophyta; Magnoliopsida; Poales; Poaceae. The record is from RNAcentral.